This 485-nucleotide ribosomal RNA is filed under the name uncultured bacterium. Its description in RNAcentral is "partial 16S ribosomal RNA". It matches the Rfam family "Bacterial small subunit ribosomal RNA", at positions 29 to 507 of the family's 1533-position model. The record is from RNAcentral.
AUUGAACGCUGGCGGCAGGCCUAACACAUGCAAGUCGAGCGGAUGAAGGGAGCUUGCUCCUGGAUUCAGCGGCGGGCGGGUGAGUAAUGCCUAGGAAUCUGCCUGGUAGUGGGGGAUAACGUCCGGAAACGGGCGCUAAUACCGCAUACGUCCUGAGGGAGAAAGUGGGGGAUCUUCGGACCUCACGCUAUCAGAUGAGCCUAGGUCGGAUUAGCUAGUUGGUGGGGUAAUGGCCUACCAAGGCGACGAUCCGUAACUGGUCUGAGAGGAUGAUCAGUCAAAAUGGGAAUGAGACACGGACAAGACUCCGACGGGAGGGAGCGGUAGGGAAUCUGCGGCAAUGGGGGCAAGAGUGAACGAGUAAAGUCGGGUGAGUGAAGAAGGUUGUCGGAUCGUAAAGCUCUGUUGUAAGUCAAGAACGGGUGUGAGCGUGGAAAGUUCACACUGUGACGGUAGCUUACAAGAAAGGGACGGCUAACUACGUG